AUUAUCAAGAGUGGACGAGAGAACCGGCUCAAUGACUCCACAGCAACCUAUUUAAAUACAAGGUGCUAAUACCGGCAAAGCAAAUUGCUUUGGCUGAUGA
RNAcentral lists this non-coding RNA (100 nucleotides) under human gut metagenome. RNAcentral's name for it is "SAM riboswitch (S box leader)". It matches the Rfam family "SAM riboswitch aptamer (S box leader)". Rfam says of the family: The SAM riboswitch is found upstream of a number of genes which code for proteins involved in methionine or cysteine biosynthesis in Gram-positive bacteria. The SAM riboswitch acts at the level of transcription termination control. The record is from RNAcentral.